Molecule: unclassified non-coding RNA, 249 nt
Filed under: Hevea brasiliensis (rubber tree)
Lineage: Eukaryota; Viridiplantae; Streptophyta; Magnoliopsida; Malpighiales; Euphorbiaceae
Source: RNAcentral
GGGAGAUUGAGAAAAAUGAGUAUUGGGGAUAUAUUACAAAUUGCGGUACGGAAGGCAAUCUUCAUGGGAUUCUCGUCGGGAGAGAAGUUUUGCCGGAUGGGAUUCUGUAUGCUUCUCGGGAAUCUCAUUAUUCCGUUUUCAAAGCCGCUAGAAUGUAUAGAAUGGACUGUGUGAAGGUUGACACUCUGAUAUCUGGUGAGAUCGAUUGUGCUGACCUUAGAGUCAAGUUGCUUGCUAACAAAGACAAAC